UACCAAAAUAUCAUUAGUCUCUAGUACUGACAAAUUUCUUCAUGAUCUCUAGUAGGAUUAAUUAGUUUCUUAAAAGUAUGGCUUCUUUUUUUCUACCACCUUUUUUUUUUUUAAAAAACCCUUCCAUUCUGUUUUAAUAUGAAUUCUGGCACUCUAUUUGCUUUGCUACCUAACUGUCCCAAGGUCUGACUUCUUGAAGGGAGAUUUUGCUUUUAGAAGCUGCCAAGAUUAUUUUGAGGCCAGACAACUCUACAUAGCAUAUAUGGCACCUUCUUUAAAAAGAAAUAAUAAGAAGGAUUUCAUCUGCUCACCCAAGCACACUUAGAGACAAAUCAGCCAACUCACUUAAGACAAAAUUGUAAAAGCAGGAGCAGUUUUUUUGUUUGUUUGUUUUGUUCUUUUGGAUUCAACACAAAAAGUUCAUCCAGAAUAGAGCACGGAGAUGAUCCAUCUUGUGGAAAGCAGUUGAAGGCCACAGAUUCAGAAGCAAGCCAAGUGGGGAGCUGUAUGAGCACAGGAAUGUCUGAGUUCAGGCUUUUCUCUUUGGAAGGUGAGAAAACAGCUGAAAUCAAGAUUCUCUUGGUCAGAAUUUGGUGGCUUUCAGCCAGUGACUAUUGCAAAGCUGAGAGAGCACAGAAAAGAUCUCCUUGGAGCUGAUAUCCACCAUCUUUUCUGAAAUUGCCCCACCCAGUGCCAAGGGUCCUAGGUGAGUGGGGUGUGGGGGUAGAGGGAGCAGAAUGAUUUCUUUUUUCAUCAUAAGCCCUAGGAAAUCCUGGGAAAGAUUGGAGUGUCCCCUUGCCAUGAAUAUCAACAAAUCCAUUUUGAUAAACUGUCUAAGGAAAGGUUUUUCUCUAGUCUCUGUAGGGUUUCCUUGGUGUAGUUUAUGGCCUUAGAAAGUAACCCCCUCCCCCAUGACCCUUUCCUUGGAAUGUUGCUGGGUUCCCAACCCUGGAGACAGUUGCUUGCAGCCUUCAGGGGACCUGGACAAGGAGAGAGUAUUGGAAUCAGACAACAAGAAGAUAAAAAAUUGGAUUGCCUUUGGAAGUUGCAAAGUUUAUUCAAUGACCACACAUUUCUCCAAGAAAGAAAGCCCCAUCUUUUUCAUGAUAAUUUUUUUUUUUGGCAAUGGUUUGGUAUUAGGUACUGGGAUUUUGUUCGUGUAUGUUUAUUUUUCACUUUUCAUAAGCUCUAAAAAUAUACCAUAAGAAGGAAAGGCAUCAAAAGCAAUCAUUACAAAAUUGGGGCAUAAAGACAAGAAGAAGGUAGAAGGUUACAUAAACUAAUAUACCCUGAAGAAUGAGUAGUUGGCGCCUAAGGAUCGACAGAUUUUGCUCUUUCAAAGUGUUGUAAUUUUUGCCAACUGUUUUCACAGUCUCAGAGCCAUAUUUAUCUCUUCAGCAGUGAUGAAAAUAUUCCCAAGUUUGGAACCACUACUGGAGAGGACUUGUCUGUCUCUUUCUGUGGUUUUCUCUCUUAUACACAUAUAUGUGUUAUAUGUUAAUAUAUAAUGAAUUAGGAUAUCUUUUUGGAAGACUUGUAACAAAAAUAUUUUAUAGACUUUAAAGUGCUAUGUGACUAUGAAUUACUAUUGAUUAGAUAGGUAUUAUACAGUUGAAAUAUAUUCUAUAAUAAAGAUACAGAGAAUUUCCA
Long non-coding RNA from Monodelphis domestica (gray short-tailed opossum), 1650 nucleotides. The record is from Ensembl. NCBI's taxonomy places the organism in Eukaryota, Metazoa, Chordata, Mammalia, Didelphimorphia, Didelphidae.